GAUGAACGCUAGCGACAGGCUUAACACAUGCAAGUCGAGGGGCAGCGGGGGUAGCAAUACCCGCCGGCGACCGGCGCACGGGUGAGUAACGCGUAUGCAACUUACCUAUCAGAGGGGGAUAACCCGGCGAAAGUCGGACUAAUACCGCAUGAAGCAGGGGCCCCGCAUGGGGAUAUUUGCUAAAGAUUCAUCGCUGAUAGAUAGGCAUGCGUUCCAUUAGGCAGUUGGCGGGGUAACGGCCCACCAAACCGACGAUGGAUAGGGGUUCUGAGAGGAAGGUCCCCCACAUUGGUACUGAGACACGGACCAAACUCCUACGGGAGGCAGCAGUGAGGAAUAUUGGUCAAUGGGCGCGAGCCUGAACCAGCCAAGUCGCGUGAGGGAUGAAGGUUCUAUGGAUCGUAAACCUCUUUUAUAAGGGAAUAAAGUGCGGGACGUGUCCUGUUUUGUAUGUACCUUAUGAAUAAGGAUCGGCUAACUCCGUGCCAGCCGCCGCAGUAA
This 501-nucleotide ribosomal RNA is filed under the name uncultured bacterium. RNAcentral's name for it is "partial 16S ribosomal RNA". It matches the Rfam family "Bacterial small subunit ribosomal RNA", at positions 28 to 523 of the family's 1533-position model. The record is from RNAcentral.